GACGAACGCUGGCGGCGUGCUUAACACAUGCAAGUCGAACGAACAGACCCUGCUUUUGUGGGGUGCUCGAUUGGCGAACGGGUGAGUAACACGUGAGUAUCCUGCCCUUGACUUUGUGAUAACUUCAGGAAACUGGGGCUAAUACCGGGUAUGAGCUCCUGCUGCGUGUGGGUCGUUGGAGAGUUUCGGCUGUGGGGGAUGGACUCGCGGCUUAUGAGCUUGUUGGUGGGGUAGUUGCUUACCAAGGCUGUGACGGGUAGCCGGCCUGAGAGGGUGACCGGCGACCAUGGGACUGAGAUACGGACCAGACUGGUACGGGAGGCAGUAGUGGGGAAUAUUGCAGAACGGGCGGAAGCCUGAUGCAGCAAUGCCGCGUGCGGGAUGACGGCCUUCGGGGUGUAAACCGCUUUCGCAUGUGACGAAGCGGGAGUGACGGUAACGGGUAAAGAAGCACCGGCUAACUACGUG
This 468-nucleotide ribosomal RNA is filed under the name uncultured bacterium. RNAcentral's name for it is "partial 16S ribosomal RNA". It matches the Rfam family "Bacterial small subunit ribosomal RNA", at positions 28 to 507 of the family's 1533-position model. The record is from RNAcentral.